This 127-nucleotide ribosomal RNA is filed under the name Clupea harengus (Atlantic herring). RNAcentral's name for it is "partial 16S ribosomal RNA". The record is from RNAcentral. Lineage: Eukaryota; Metazoa; Chordata; Actinopteri; Clupeiformes; Clupeidae.
GCCAAACAGCUAGCUCAAACCACAAGAGCCUAAGUUAAUAAUAUACAUAGCUCUACAUAAACUAGAUUUAAUUAAACUAAACCAUUCGACCACCCCAGUAUGGGCGACAAAAAAGGAUAAACGAAGC